This 308-nucleotide ribosomal RNA is filed under the name uncultured bacterium. Its description in RNAcentral is "bacterial SSU rRNA". It matches the Rfam family "Bacterial small subunit ribosomal RNA", at positions 29 to 362 of the family's 1533-position model. The record is from RNAcentral.
AACGAACGCUGGCGGCAGGCCUAACACAUGCAAGUCGAACGGGUGUAGCAAUACAUCAGUGGCAGACGGGUGAGUAACGCGUGGGAAUCUCCCCAGAGGUACGGAACAACUCAGGGAAACUUGAGCUAAUACCGUAUGUGCCCGAGAGGGCAAAGAUUCAUCGCCUUUGGAUGAGCCCGCGUUGGAUUAGCUAGUUGGUGGGGUAACGGCCUACCAAGGCUACGAUCCAUAGCUGAUCUGAGAGGAUGAUCAGCCACACUGGGACUGAGACACGGCCCAGACUCCUACGGGAGGCAGCAGUGGGGAAU